UGAAGCGCCUGUUCUUGGAUCGUGGCCCUGUAGUCAUCCUCGGGCAAAGCGCUUGACA
This 58-nucleotide microRNA precursor is filed under the name Mus musculus (house mouse). RNAcentral describes it as "Mmu-Mir-3080_pre stem-loop". The record is from RNAcentral. Lineage: Eukaryota; Metazoa; Chordata; Mammalia; Rodentia; Muridae.